GCAGAUGUGGCGGAAUUGGUAUACGCGCAUGAUUCAGGUUCAUGUCCGCAUUACGUGGGUACGGGUUCAAGUCCCGUCAUCUGCA
This 85-nucleotide transfer RNA is filed under the name Lachnospiraceae bacterium NE2001. It matches the Rfam family "tRNA". From Rfam's summary of the family: Transfer RNA (tRNA) molecules are approximately 80 nucleotides in length. Their secondary structure includes four short double-helical elements and three loops (D, anti-codon, and T loops). Lineage: Bacteria; Bacillati; Bacillota; Clostridia; Lachnospirales; Lachnospiraceae. The record is from Rfam by way of RNAcentral.